ACAAAUCGGUUGACUUCUCUUUCUCUUAUUUGCAGUGUUCCUCUGAAAGUUUGCCUAUUAUCUCCUAUCAGUCUACUUCAGGAGUGGAAUAUAAAGAGGGUGAGCCAACCUUACCACUAUCUGGAAAACAGUGGUUUGCAAGGCAGUUUUCUAACCUGACAUUUGGGUUGAUAGUAGUACUGAGUCAGCAGAAGCUGCCUGUGCUAUACUUUCUCAGCUGAUAAAUUGUUCUAUCCAGACUUUGGACUUGAUUUUGAUGGCCAAGCCAAGUUUUAUGAAUGUGUCCAAGGUAAGGAUACUGUUCUUUUUUGUGAGCUAUACUAAAAUUCUUAAAUGUUACUGAACUGAGAAGAAAGUAUU
RNAcentral lists this long non-coding RNA (360 nucleotides) under Dasypus novemcinctus (nine-banded armadillo). Its description in RNAcentral is "lncRNA (ENSDNOG00000052722.1)". Lineage: Eukaryota; Metazoa; Chordata; Mammalia; Cingulata; Dasypodidae. The record is from RNAcentral.